UACGUAGGGGGCUAGCGUUGUCCGGAAUCAUUGGGCGUAAAGAGCGUGUAGGCGGCCCGGUAAGUCCGCUGUGAAAGUCGGGGGCUCAACCCUCGAAUGCCGGUGGAUACUGUCGGGCUAGAGUGCGGAAGAGGCGAGUGGAAUUCCUGGUGUAGCGGUGAAAUGCGCAGAUAUCAGGAAGAACACCAAUGGCGAAGGCAGCUCUCUGGGACGGUACUGACGCUGAGACGCGAAAGCGUGGGGAGCGAACAGG
This 253-nucleotide ribosomal RNA is filed under the name uncultured bacterium. RNAcentral describes it as "partial 16S ribosomal RNA". It matches the Rfam family "Bacterial small subunit ribosomal RNA", at positions 524 to 776 of the family's 1533-position model. The record is from RNAcentral.